AUUGAACGCUGGCGGCAGGCCUAACACAUGCAAGUCGAACGGUAACAGUACUACGCUUGCUUCUUUGCUGCCGAGUGGCGGGCGGGUGAGUAAUGUCUUGGCUACUUCCUGAUGGAGGGGUAUAACUACUGGAAACGGUAGCUAAUACCGCAUUACUUCGCAUCACUAAUUAUUGGGACCUUCGGUCCUCUUGCCAUCGGAUGCGCCCAGAUGGGAUUAGCUUGUAGUUGGGGUUACGGCUCUCCUAGGCCACUAUCCCUAGCUGGUCUGAGAGGAUGACCAGACACACUGGAACUGAGACGCGGUACAGACUACUACGGGAGGGGGGAGUGGGGAAUAUUGCACAAUGGGAGGAAGCCUGAUGCAGCCAUGCCGCGUGUAUGAAAAAGGCAUUCGGGUUGUAAAGUACUUUCAGCGGGGAGGAAGGGAGAAAAGUUAAUACCUUGGCUCAUUGACGUUACCGGAAGAAGAAGCACCGGCUAACUCCGUG
Molecule: ribosomal RNA, 490 nt
Filed under: uncultured bacterium
Lineage: Bacteria
Description: partial 16S ribosomal RNA
Rfam family: Bacterial small subunit ribosomal RNA
Source: RNAcentral